CAUCCCCCGCGUGGUCCGUGCCGGGUGCCACGAUUGUAGAACCAACUCUCACACCUCGGGAGUCUUUCACUCGUGGGACUGUGCCUGCCUCGCUUUGACGAGGACGCUGAUGGCUCACGGAGCGGACACCCACCUGGCGCGUUCAGGUUCUAAACGCUAGGGCCCGCACGGGCUGCGUGGGGGAUGC
RNAcentral lists this non-coding RNA (187 nucleotides) under Acidobacteriota bacterium. RNAcentral's name for it is "Acidobacteria bacterium (sediment metagenome) 6S RNA". It matches the Rfam family "6S / SsrS RNA". From Rfam's summary of the family: E. coli 6S RNA was the first non coding RNA to be sequenced, but its function was unknown until recently. The record is from RNAcentral. Lineage: Bacteria; Pseudomonadati; Acidobacteriota.